Molecule: ribosomal RNA, 1451 nt
Filed under: Klebsiella pneumoniae
Lineage: Bacteria; Pseudomonadati; Pseudomonadota; Gammaproteobacteria; Enterobacterales; Enterobacteriaceae
Description: partial 23S ribosomal RNA
Rfam family: Bacterial large subunit ribosomal RNA
Source: RNAcentral
UGUGAACUCGAAGAGUAGGGCGGGACACGUGGUAUCCUGUCUGAAUAUGGGGGGACCAUCCUCCAAGGCUAAAUACUCCUGACUGACCGAUAGUGAACCAGUACCGUGAGGGAAAGGCGAAAAGAACCCCGGCGAGGGGAGUGAAAAAGAACCUGAAACCGUGUACGUACAAGCAGUGGGAGCACCUUCGGGUGUGACUGCGUACCUUUUGUAUAAUGGGUCAGCGACUUAUAUUCUGUAGCAAGGUUAACCGUAUAGGGGAGCCGCAGGGAAACCGAGUCUUAACUGGGCGUUAAGUUGCAGGGUAUAGACCCGAAACCCGGUGAUCUAGCCAUGGGCAGGUUGAAGGUUGGGUAACACUAACUGGAGGACCGAACCGACUAAUGUUGAAAAAUUAGCGGAUGACUUGUGGCUGGGGGUGAAAGGCCAAUCAAACCGGGAGAUAGCUGGUUCUCCCCGAAAGCUAUUUAGGUAGCGCCUCGUGAAUUCAUCUUCGGGGGUAGAGCACUGUUUCGGCUAGGGGGUCAUCCCGACUUACCAACCCGAUGCAAACUACGAAUACCGAAGAAUGUUAUCACGGGAGACACACGGCGGGUGCUAACGUCCGUCGUGAAGAGGGAAACAACCCAGACCGCCAGCUAAGGUCCCAAAGUCAUGGUUAAGUGGGAAACGAUGUGGGAAGGCACAGACAGCCAGGAUGUUGGCUUAGAAGCAGCCAUCAUUUAAAGAAAGCGUAAUAGCUCACUGGUCGAGUCGGCCUGCGCGGAAGAUGUAACGGGGCUAAACCAUGCACCGAAGCUGCGGCAGCGACACUAUGUGUUGUUGGGUAGGGGAGCGUUCUGUAAGCCUGCGAAGGUGUGCUGUGAGGCAUGCUGGAGGUAUCAGAAGUGCGAAUGCUGACAUAAGUAACGAUAAAGCGGGUGAAAAGCCCGCUCGCCGGAAGACCAAGGGUUCCUGUCCAACGUUAAUCGGGGCAGGGUGAGUCGACCCCUAAGGCGAGGCCGAAAGGCGUAGUCGAUGGGAAACAGGUUAAUAUUCCUGUACUUGGUGUUACUGCGAAGGGGGGACGGAGAAGGCUAUGUUAGCCGGGCGACGGUUGUCCCGGUUUAAGCAUGUAGGCUGAUUGUCCAGGCAAAUCCGGAUAAUCAAGGCUGAGGUGUGAUGACGAGGCACUACGGUGCUGAAGUAACAAAUGCCCUGCUUCCAGGAAAAGCCUCUAAGCAUCAGGUAACAUCAAAUCGUACCCCAAACCGACACAGGUGGUCAGGUAGAGAAUACCAAGGCGCUUGAGAGAACUCGGGUGAAGGAACUAGGCAAAAUGGUGCCGUAACUUCGGGAGAAGGCACGCUGGUGUGUAGGUGAAGUCCCUGCGGAUGGAGCUGAGACCAGUCGAAGAUACCAGCUGGCUGCAACUGUUUAUUAAAAACACAGCACUGUGCAAACACGAAAGU